Molecule: unclassified non-coding RNA, 21 nt
Filed under: Dictyostelium discoideum
Lineage: Eukaryota; Evosea; Eumycetozoa; Dictyosteliales; Dictyosteliaceae
Source: RNAcentral
CCAAGUACACAUACACUGCGC